This 253-nucleotide ribosomal RNA is filed under the name uncultured bacterium. Its description in RNAcentral is "partial 16S ribosomal RNA". It matches the Rfam family "Bacterial small subunit ribosomal RNA", at positions 524 to 776 of the family's 1533-position model. The record is from RNAcentral.
UACGAAGGGGGCUAGCGUUGCUCGGAAUGACUGGGCGUAAAGGGCGCGUAGGCGGAUGGCACAGUCAGAUGUGAAAUUCCUGGGCUUAACCUGGGGGCUGCAUUUGAUACGUGUGAUCUGGAGUGGGGAAGAGGGUCGUGGAAUUCCCAGUGUAGAGGUGAAAUUCGUAGAUAUUGGGAAGAACACCGGUGGCGAAGGCGGCGACCUGGUCCUUGACUGACGCUGAGGCGCGAAAGCGUGGGGAGCAAACAGG